This is a non-coding RNA of Sus scrofa (pig), 1745 nucleotides long. Lineage: Eukaryota; Metazoa; Chordata; Mammalia; Artiodactyla; Suidae. The record is from RefSeq and is a predicted model, not a curated record.
CCGCCCCAGUCGCCGCCCCGAGGCUGUCGCGGGCGGUUGGGACCGCGGAGCCUUUCCUUCGCCGGCCGCCCGCGAUGCCGAUCACCUACAGCUGCAUCGCACGUGGCCGAGCGGUCCUAGCGGAGCUGGCCCUGACCGGCGGCUCAUACCAGGUACCCCUGCGGCGGCACUUCGGCCUUCGCCGGUUCCACCCGCCGCUCGGGCCUCGGCGCUGAGGGGCUGCCCUGAGCGGGCUGUGGGGGCGCGAGGCCCCGCCCCCGAGAGCGGCCUGUCCAGUGAGACGGGGAAUCCCUGCCCCGAGCCGCUCCCGCUCCGAACGGCAGAGCCGCCAGUGCGCCGCCCAGCGGUUGGGGCUGGUGCUGCACGCCACCUGCUUGGCGGUCGCUUCCUGUUUAAUUCCAGAGACCCUUCAAGAUGUUCUCUCCCCCCAGACAUGGCCUGCGAUUCAACGCACAUUUAUUGAAUACAUGUUAGUCGCACAAUCCCGGAGUAAAGGAGGCAGCAGCAACAGUGCUUAAACUGGUGCUUCUUAGAGCAGAACCGAAGACCAUGAUUCAAAUGGGAAGCUUUGUCUACCAUACUCUCUCUGUUGAUGGAAUCACUUACCUAUGUGCCUCAGACAAUGCCUUGGAUACUAUAACACCAGCUGCGUUUCUUAAAAAUGUUAGUGAGAGUCUUCUGAGAAAUCCUUUGAUGUCACAAGAACAUUUUUCUCCUUCAAAUGCAGCUGCUGCAGAUUUUCAACAAGUAUUAGGAAAAUACAUGAUGAAAUACAAUAAAAGUCAAGAUGACAGCUCGAUAUCCACGCUGAGAAGUCAAGUAACUGAUGUUAAAAAUGUCAUGACUCAAAAUAUCGAUAAAAUUUUGGAAAGCGAAGAAAGACUGAAUAUCUUCACUGCUAGAACAGACAAUCUGCAAAUAACUGCCGAGGAAUCGCAAAAGACAAGAACGAUUUGGAGGAGGAUGUGGUGGAAACACAUCAAAAAGAUUCUAAUCAUCCCCGUGGCAGUUCUCCUUUCAGUCAUCAUCAUCCUUCUAAGUACAAAUGUGAUACCAACCUGACCUCCUCCUCAUCCCAGCAGGUACCAUAAACUGCUCGCGUCAUCCUAGAGUCCUACUCUCUGUGGUUACGGAAGCAUUCUCUAGGGUAGGAGGAGUGGAGAAGAGAGGGUGGAAUUACGUCCUUGUCCCUUUCGUGUCCCUAGAUUCUUGUCUUUGUACCUCUUCCAUUUCUGUAGUCUCAUUUCUUUUUUUUUUUUACCACCGCUCCUCUACUCUUCUCUUUAAUAUACAAACGCAAACCCUGGAAUCAGACUGGCCACGCUCCACCUCUCCACUCUGCCACCAUACCACCUAGGUGACCUUGGACAAGUUAGUGAACCUGUGCCCUCGCUCCCUCGUCUGUCAGGUGGAGCCAGUAAUGAUAAUACUGCGUGGAGUUGCUGUCCACACACAGUACAUGCUCUCUAAGCAUUAACCAUUACCUACCAGGAAAGGACGGUUGCAUUUACAGCAUUAAGUCCCGGGAUCUUGCUCUGUACUCAGAAAUGAACUUAACACUCCUUUAGAAAUGAGAAGAAGCUCAACAGUUCAGUCCAGUCCAGAUAUGCAUUCACCUCUUCUACACAGCCUUUCACUCGAAAUGAAAAUUCAAACCGUCGUUUUAUACUAGGCAUUUCUUUGGGUAAAGAUUAAAAAAAAUUAGUAAACUAUCAUUUCUCUAAUAAAUCACAGGUAUGUCUUCC